This is a long non-coding RNA of Drosophila elegans, 704 nucleotides long. RefSeq lists it as uncharacterized. The transcript is spliced from 2 exons. The record is from RefSeq and is a predicted model, not a curated record. Lineage: Eukaryota; Metazoa; Arthropoda; Insecta; Diptera; Drosophilidae.
CAACAUUAAACUUUAAUGCACAGGAAAAGCAAAUACAAACACAAACCAGGAGUGCAGUAUAAUCGAGAAAGACGGAAGCAGCAAAGAUGGGCGAAUAAGGACUGCAAUGGAAUGAAUCGAAAAAGUAGCUAGAUAAAAACAAGACAGGAUGAAGAAGCAAGUGCAUGACUGACCACCACUAAGCGGUUACCACUUUACUGUAGCUGAAAAGGCCCUAAUAUUGUAUCCGCCAUCCUGUUCUCAAGCGGAACUGACACUUCGACUCAAGAAAAAGAAAAAGAAGAUACGAAAGCACCAGCCGGUAAUAACUGGACAGCAGAGGCACUUGCAAUUUAAAUGGCCCAGGGCCGAAGGGGUAUAGAGCCAGGGAUUGGGUUGGGGCAAGGUUGUUGUUAGGCUGCUGGUUGAACGUCGGCAAAGGGGCAAAUGCAAAGUGCACAAGAAAAACUGUCAAUUUGCUUUAUGCUGGCGAAAGAGAAGAUGUGAAAAUGGACUUUAUAAGUAACUUUAUAAUAUGAAGCGCCAUUUGCAAAUAUCUCAGGAAAAAGCUUUCUAGCCCUGUUAUCCCAUUUCCUGGGGCAACUUCUUAACCAUUUUUUUGAAUUCGGAAUUUAAGAUGAGAAAAUUUAUAGUUAAUGUAAUUUGUUGUUAAUUAUUGUUCCAAGUCUAAGAAUGACAAAUAAAACCAUUUGUCGAAAGAGUUA